CGUAGGGUGCAAGCGUUAAUCGGAAUUACUGGGCGUAAAGCGUGCGCAGGCGGUUAUGUAAGACAGAGGUGAAAUCCCCGGGCUCAACCUGGGAACUGCCUUUGUGACUGCAUAGCUAGAGUACGGCAGAGGGGGAUGGAAUUCCGCGUGUAGCAGUGAAAUUCGUAGAUAUUAGGAGGAACACCGGUGGCGAAGGCGGCUAUCUGGACGACAACUGACGCUGAGGCGCGAAAGCGUGGGGAUCAAACAGGAUUAGAUACCCUGGUAGUCCACGCUGUAAACGAUGGGUGCUAGCUGUUCGGAGGUUACCUCUGAGUAGCGCAGCUAACGCGUUAAGCACCCCGCCUGGGGAGUACGGUCGCAAGAUUA
Molecule: ribosomal RNA, 369 nt
Filed under: uncultured organism
Description: bacterial SSU rRNA
Rfam family: Bacterial small subunit ribosomal RNA
Source: RNAcentral